This 1497-nucleotide ribosomal RNA is filed under the name uncultured bacterium. RNAcentral's name for it is "bacterial SSU rRNA". It matches the Rfam family "Bacterial small subunit ribosomal RNA". The record is from RNAcentral.
AGAGUUUGAUCCUGGCUCAGGACGAACGCUGGCGGCGUGCCUAACACAUGCAAGUCGAACGGUCUAAUGCUUAACACUGAGUGUUCAGUAACGGUUGGAACAGCGAGAGCGCGAAGGUGUGCAAAAACGCUACUGAGGAACUGAACAUUGAGUGUUAAGUAUUAGAUAGUGGCGGACGGGUGAGUAACGCGUGGGUAACCUACCCAUAAAGCCGGGACAACCCUUGGAAACGAGGGCUAAUACCGGAUAAUCUUAUUUGUUGGCAUCAACCGAUAAGGAAAGGUGGCCUCUGUAAAUGCUACCGAUUAUGGAUGGACCCGCGUCUGAUUAGCUAGUUGGUGGGGUAAAGGCCUACCAAGGCGACGAUCAGUAGCCGGCCUGAGAGGGUGAACGGCCACACUGGGACUGAGACACGGCCCAGACUCCUACGGGAGGCAGCAGUGGGGAAUCUUCCGCAAUGGACGAAAGUCUGACGGAGCAACGCCGCGUGUAUGAUGAAGGUCUUCGGAUUGUAAAGUACUGUCUUUGGGGAAGAACGAUGGAUUUGAAAAUAUUGAGUCCAUAUGACGGUACCCAAGGAGGAAGCCCCGGCUAACUACGUGCCAGCAGCCGCGGUAAUACGUAGGGGGCAAGCGUUGUCCGGAAUUAUUAUUCUUAAGUCUGGUGUGAAAGAUCAGGGCUCAACCCUGAGAGUGCAUCGGAAACUGGGUAUCUUGAGGACAGGAGAGGAAAGUGGAAUUCCACGUGUAGCGGUGAAAUGCGUAGAUAUGUGGAGGAACACCAGUGGCGAAGGCGACUUUCUGGACUGUAACUGACGCUGAGGCGCGAAAGCGUGGGGAGCAAACAGGAUUAGAUACCCUGGUAGUCCACGCUGUAAACGAUGGGUGCUAGGUGUAGAGGGUAUCGGCCCCUUCAGUGCUGUAGUUAACACAAUAAGUACUCCGCCUGGGGAGUACGGCCGCAAGGAUGAAACUCAAAGGAAUUGACGGGGGCCCGCACAAGCGGUGGAGCAUGUGGUUUAAUUCGACGCAACGCGAAGAACCUUACCAGGGCUUGACCUCCCCUGACCGGAUAUGAAAGUAUCUUUUCACCUUCGGGUGACAGGGAGACAGGUGGUGCAUGGUUGUCGUCAGCUCGUGUCGUGAGAUGUUGGGUUAAGUCCCGCAACGAGCGCAACCCCUACAUUUAGUUGCUAACGGAUAAUGCCGAGCACUCUAGAGGAACUGCCGUUGAUAAAACUGAGGAAGGUGGGAAUGACGUCAAAUCAUCAUGCCCCUUAUGUUCUGGGCUACACACGUGCUACAAUGGCCGGUACAGACGGAAGCGAAGCCGCGAGGUGAGGCAAAUCCGAGAAAGCCGGUCUCAGUUCGGGUUGCAGGCUGCAACUCGCCUGCAUGAAGUCGGAAUCGCUAGUAAUCGCAGGUCAGCAUACUGCGGUGAAUACGUUCCCGGGCCUCGUACACAUCGCCCGUCACACCACGAAAGCCUGCAACACCC